RNAcentral lists this ribosomal RNA (118 nucleotides) under Nostoc sp. SR11. RNAcentral describes it as "partial 16S ribosomal RNA". It matches the Rfam family "Bacterial small subunit ribosomal RNA", at positions 1413 to 1529 of the family's 1533-position model. The record is from RNAcentral. Lineage: Bacteria; Bacillati; Cyanobacteriota; Cyanophyceae; Nostocales; Nostocaceae.
AGGCCCGCCCCGAGUCUUACUCCAACCAUUCGUGGGGGAGGAUGCCUAAGGCAGUGCUGGUGACUGGGGUGAAGUCGUAACAAGGUAGCCGUACCGGAAGGUGUGGCUGGAUCACCUC